GAUGAACGCUGGCGGCGUGCCUAACACAUGCAAGUCGAGCGAUUACUUCGGUAAAGAGCGGCGGACGGGUGAGUAACGCGUGGGUAACCUGCCCUGUACACACGGAUAACAUACCGAAAGGUAUGCUAAUACGAGAUAAUAUACUUUUAUCGCAUGGUAGAAGUAUCAAAGCUCUGGCGGUACAGGAUGGACCCGCGUCUGAUUAGCUAGUUGGUAAGGUAACGGCUUACCAAGGCGACGAUCAGUAGCCGACCUGAGAGGGUGAUCGGCCACAUUGGAACUGAGACACGGUCCAAACUCCUACGGGAGGCAGCAGUGGGGAAUAUUGCACAAUGGGCGAAAGCCUGAUGCAGCAACGCCGCGUGAGCGAUGAAGGCCUUCGGGUCGUAAAGCUCUGUCCUCAAGGAAGAUAAUGACGGUACUUGAGGAGGAAGCCCCGGCUAACUACGUG
This 451-nucleotide ribosomal RNA is filed under the name uncultured bacterium. RNAcentral's name for it is "bacterial SSU rRNA". It matches the Rfam family "Bacterial small subunit ribosomal RNA", at positions 28 to 507 of the family's 1533-position model. The record is from RNAcentral.